RNAcentral lists this ribosomal RNA (882 nucleotides) under Triticum aestivum (bread wheat). Its description in RNAcentral is "partial small subunit ribosomal RNA". Lineage: Eukaryota; Viridiplantae; Streptophyta; Magnoliopsida; Poales; Poaceae. The record is from RNAcentral.
AUGUUAGAGGAGACAAAGUACAACUCAAGGUGGUGCCAAACUUUGAUGGCUGGUCCUAACAUUUACCAAGUGACUAGUGGAGAAAACACCUACUCAGUGAACUUGUUGGACAGAACAUGUGGAUGUAGGAAAUGGGAUAUGACUUCUAUGCCUUGCCAUCAUGCAGUUUCUGCAAUAGUGAAAGCCAAGUUGCAGCCAGAGGACUUUGUGGCUGAUUUCUUCAAAAAAGAAAUGUAUAAAAAAGCAUUUGUACAUAUCAUAUUUCCUGUGCCUGGUCCUAACCUGUGGCCAAGGACAAGAACUCAGGACAUAGAGCCUCCAGUAUUUAAAGACAAGGUUGGGAAGCAACAGACAAAGAGGAGGAAAAACCAAUUUGAGAAGCCAGCACCAAGAGAUACAUCUAGGAUGGCAUCUAUUACUUGCAGCAACUGCAAACUUGUAGGGCAUAGAUACAAUGUUUGCUCCAAGCCACUCAAGCCAGCUCUUGCUUUGAGAAUAAACCAACAUCAGCCAAACAGGUCACAGGCUUCUACUUCAACAACAAAUGCAUCUACAACUGCUGCACCACCAAGGAAGAGGCCAUCUUCAUCUACUGCUGCACCAGCAAGGAAGAGGCCAUCUCCAUCAACUACUGCUCCUACACCUGCUGCCACUACACCAGUUGCUCCUCCAAGGAGGUCUCCCAGGAAGAAAGCUACACCUGCUGCCACUACACCUGCUGCUCCUCCAAGGAGGUCUCCCAGGAAGAAAGCUACCACUGCUGGUACAACCUCUACCUCUGCUGCAGGAAACAGGUCAACCUUUCAAGCUCUAAGACAGAGUGGAAGAAAAAGGACUUCUUCAUACAAGUUGAAAGAGUACUUCUAUGCUUCUGGGAACUAG